RNAcentral lists this ribosomal RNA (257 nucleotides) under uncultured eukaryote. RNAcentral describes it as "partial 18S rRNA". It matches the Rfam family "Eukaryotic small subunit ribosomal RNA", at positions 324 to 584 of the family's 1831-position model. The record is from RNAcentral.
GAUGGUAGUGUAUUGGACCACCAUGGCAGUCACGGGUAACGGAGGAUUAGGGUUCGAUUCCGGAGAGGGAGCCUGAGAAACGGCUACCACAUCUAAGGAAGGCAGCAGGCGCGUAAAUUACCCAAUCCUGACUCAGGGAGGUAGUGACAAGAAAUAACGGACCGAAGCCUAUGUUUCGGGAUUGCAAUGAGUAGAAUUUAAACCCCUUUACGAGGAUCAAUUGGAGGGCAAGUCUGGUGCCAGCAGCCGCGGUAAUA